Molecule: small RNA, 424 nt
Filed under: Pongo abelii (Sumatran orangutan)
Lineage: Eukaryota; Metazoa; Chordata; Mammalia; Primates; Hominidae
Description: retained intron
Source: RNAcentral
CAGAUUUGCUGGCCCCAGAGGGGCAGGAGGGGCUGGCAAGGCCCCUUCCAGACUUUGCUAACUCUGCCUUCCCACAGGGGCUUCUUCACGUGCCUUGGCCGCGAGGGGCGGGUGUAUGAUGACCUCAAGUAUGUGUGGCUGCAGGGGAGGCAGGUAUGGAUGUAUUGUCGCCUGUACCGCACUUUCGAGCGCUUCCGCCAUGCUCAGCUUCUGGACGCAGCAAAAGCAGGUGGUGAGUUCUUGCUGCGUUAUGCCCGGGUGGCACCUCCUGGCAAGAAGUGUGCCUUUGUGCUGACUCGGGACGGCCGCCCGGUCAAGGUGCAGCGGACCAUCUUCAGCGAGUGUUUCUACACCAUGGCCAUGAACGAGCUGUGGAGGGCCACAGGGGAAGCACGGUACCAGACGGAAGCGGUGGAGAUGAUGG